AACACAGCAUGGUAGCAACACAACAUGACAACAACAUCGUAGCAACACAACAUGACAACAACAUGGCAGCAGCACAAAACAUGGUACACACAUGAUUGGGCACAGACAACAGCACAAAGGGCAAGAGGGUAGAGACAACAAUGCAUCACGUGGAGCAGUCCAAAUGUCACUAAGAGUGUCCAUGAUUGAGCCUUUGAAUGAAGAGAUACAACUGUCCAGUGUUUUUGGCAGCUCGUUCCAGUCGCUAGCUGCAGAGAGCUGAAAAGAGGAGCAACGCAGGGAUGUGUGUGCUUUGGGGACCAGAGGGCUGCAGUAGGUAUCUCAGAUAGGUGGGAGUUAGGCCUAAGAGGGUACAUGCUUUGUCGUCUUCUUUGACGGACUGUGUGGUUUUACUCCGUUUCAUUACAUUAGCUGUAGGCUACCACAUGAAUGCAUAAUAUAUAAACAACUUGCACGUCACAUUUCAAAACAAGUACUUGCAUGGUGGCUUCAAUGACAGGUUUAGAUACUCUGCGGUGCCUUGUUAGGUCGAGAGCUCAACUACGAUAUCCACAAUCCCUUUCGCAUCAUACGCGGCAGGUUUUUCUCGGAUCGGAGUACGCUACAAUUCAAAACGAGACGUCUCUGUUUAUGUUCAACACACCUCCAACAUAUUAUUCUGCUGUCCGCACGGAGAGCGAAGCAUUAAAAAUAAAAAUAAACAUUUUGGGGGAAUGUAACUUUGUACAGGAAGAAAGCUAACACGAAAGCGUCGUAUGAUUGGCCAUUCUGACUGUUUUUUUUUGUAUCAAACAUUGAGAUUUGUUGACAAAUUGCCUUUGUUAGCUGGUAACUCAACCAACUUGGUCUGAAGCGGCGGGUGGUAGAUGGUUGUCCCCCGCUCACUGAGCGGUGUGUCUCGGCAGGAGGAGCGCAUCGACUCCGCUGGUUGCAGCGGCGACAACCAACAGGCACAUGCAGGAUGAGGAGGCGGAGCUGAAGCUCAGCUGACCCCACCCAUUUAGUGUGACCUCCCUCCUACCCUCACCCAUCCAGCCAGCCGGGCCCAUGUUCUCUCCAGAGCAGGAAAAUAUCUCCCCCUCCUCCACCUCCUCCUCCAAAGUGCCGGUGAAAUAUGGAGAGCUCAUGGUGCUGGGGUA
Long non-coding RNA from Oncorhynchus tshawytscha (Chinook salmon), 1139 nucleotides. Lineage: Eukaryota; Metazoa; Chordata; Actinopteri; Salmoniformes; Salmonidae. The record is from Ensembl.